RNAcentral lists this transfer RNA (89 nucleotides) under Omnitrophica WOR_2 bacterium GWA2_45_18. RNAcentral describes it as "tRNA-Ser". It matches the Rfam family "tRNA". From Rfam's summary of the family: Transfer RNA (tRNA) molecules are approximately 80 nucleotides in length. Their secondary structure includes four short double-helical elements and three loops (D, anti-codon, and T loops). Further hydrogen bonds mediate the characteristic L-shaped molecular structure. tRNAs have two regions of fundamental functional importance: the anti-codon, which is responsible for specific mRNA codon recognition, and the 3' end, to which the tRNAs corresponding amino acid is attached (by aminoacyl-tRNA synthetases). tRNAs cope with the degeneracy of the genetic code in two manners: having more than one tRNA (with a specific anti-codon) for a particular amino acid; and 'wobble' base-pairing, i.e. permitting non-standard base-pairing at the 3rd anti-codon position. The record is from RNAcentral. RNAcentral also lists the same sequence under 1 other name. Lineage: Bacteria; Pseudomonadati; Candidatus Omnitrophota.
GGAGAGGUGGCAGAGUGGCUGAAUGCAACUGCCUGCUAAGCAGUUGACCUGGGUAACUGGGUCCUCGGGUUCGAAUCCCGACCUCUCCG